AUGGCCUGUAUCUGCUUCCUGAUUACAGGACCUUGUGACUCUGCCUUAGGCGCUGACACACCAGGUGAACUUUCUAGAAACGCUAUAGCUAACCUGGGAGAGCACUCACUGCUGAAGUGGGGUGCGAAACCAUCUCCCCCUACAUUGCUGAUGGAGAUGGAAACUGCACAGCAGCUUUGGACAAGUGUGUCUCUAGGUACCAAACAAACAUCGCUAUGUGACCCUGUCAUCACAUCCCCAGGCAUUCAUGACCCCUCAGAAACUGGUUGGAAGUUUUGUAAAUUUGGUGCAAUCUGGAACCGUUUUGUAAGAGAAGCCUCAAUUAAGGAAAUGCCUCCAUCAGACUGGCCUUUGGGCAAGCCUGGGAGGCAUCUCUUGGUUGACGGUUGAUGUGGGAGGGGUCAGCACGUUGAGGAUGGUGCCACCCCUGGGCAGGUGGUCCUGGGGGUGUUUAAGAAAGCUAACUGAGCAAGCCAGGAAGCCACGUUCCUCUGUGACCUCUGCUUCAGCCCCUGCCUUGAGUUCCUGAGUUGGCAUCCCUCAUGGCUGAAUUGCUAUCAGAACAUGCAAGCCAAAUAAAUCCUUUCCUCAAGUUGCUUUUGGUCAUGGUGUUUAUCACAGCAAUAGACAGCAACCAGAAAUGAGCAGUUUUCUGUAACGACCCCCAACUAGAGAUAAUCUCAACAGGUACAUGAAUGGUUAAAUGGAUGGGAGUUUGUCCAUACUACUGAAUACUACCCAGCAAUAAAAAAGAAACAAGAUAGCAAUCUAAAUACAUCCCCAAGCCUAAGUGAAAAGGGAAACCAAACCAAAACAAAAGCCUACCUCAAAAGGUCACACACCCAAGUGAUGUUAUUGAUGUAACCUUGUCCAAACAACAGAUUUAUCAAUAUGGAGAAGAUGAGUGCUGGCUUCGGGGCUCUGGGUGGUGGGAGGGGCCGCUAUAACUCUGGAGUGGGAUCCAGGUCUGUGAUGGUGCAGAUGCCAGGGGCCGCUAUAACUCUGGAGUGGG
This 1012-nucleotide long non-coding RNA is filed under the name Cricetulus griseus (Chinese hamster). RNAcentral describes it as "lncRNA (ENSCGRG00000025049.1)". Lineage: Eukaryota; Metazoa; Chordata; Mammalia; Rodentia; Cricetidae. The record is from RNAcentral.